Molecule: non-coding RNA, 67 nt
Organism: Chinchilla lanigera (long-tailed chinchilla)
Lineage: Eukaryota; Metazoa; Chordata; Mammalia; Rodentia; Chinchillidae
Source: Ensembl
GGUAGAGUGGCUGAGUGAGGAAGCAUUAGACUGUAAAUCUAAAGACAGAGGUAAUCUCUUUCUACCA